This 232-nucleotide long non-coding RNA is filed under the name Elaeis guineensis (African oil palm). Its description in RNAcentral is "long non-coding RNA (EGUI_LNC050383)". The record is from RNAcentral. Lineage: Eukaryota; Viridiplantae; Streptophyta; Magnoliopsida; Arecales; Arecaceae.
AGUUAAUCCGAUGGACAGACUUUAAAUCAUUCUAUUGGUCGGACAGCGUAUCCAUACAAUUUGAGUCUUUGUUGAGCAUCGUAAGGUCCAGCCUUUAUUGAUCUUUAUCGGAUCAUUAUAUUUUAAGUAAUCUUAAUUAAAUGGCAUAUUGAUCUCCACUUUGAUUUUUAUCGAACACCAUUGAUUUGAUCACCCUUGAUCUUUGUUGAACCACCACCUCCUAGCUAGCCUG